GAUGAAGAACGCAGCGAAAUACGAUAAGUAAUGUGAAUUGCAGAAUUCAGUGAAUCAUCGAAUCUUUGAACGCACAUUGCGCCCCUUGGUAUUCCGAGGGGCAUGCCUGUUCGAGCGUCAUAAUAGCCAAUCCAGCCCCGCUGGGUCUUGGGCUCGCCUGCCGGCGGGCCCUAAAGCCAGUGGCGGUGCCGUCCGGCUCCUAAGCGUAGUAAAUACCUCGCUAUAGGCCCCGGCGCGCGCCCGCCAGCAACCCCCUUCUACGGUUGACCUCGGAUCAGGUAGGGAUACCCGCUGAACUUAAGCAUAUCAAUAAGCGGAGGA
RNAcentral lists this unclassified non-coding RNA (321 nucleotides) under soil metagenome. RNAcentral's name for it is "partial contains 5.8S ribosomal RNA, internal transcribed spacer 2, and large subunit ribosomal RNA". The stretch from base 1 to 120 matches the Rfam family "5.8S ribosomal RNA", at positions 35 to 154 of the family's 154-position model. The record is from RNAcentral.